GCAGGAGGGGGAAGUAAAGGGGUGUCUGCUGUUGUUUGACAUUUACAAGUCUCUUAGUGAAAUGCAUGAUGCACAUCCUUUUGAGUGUGUGCGCAGCAAGUGUAAUUAGAACACGGCAGGCAUGUGUUUGUCUUUGUGUUGUUGUAUGGUGGAGGUAUCAAGGACAAGUGCAUUAAUGAGCACCUGGAGAGGAACAGCUUGUGUCUCCUGGUUAGUGUGACCGCGAGCAGGGCGCAGACUCCUUCACUGACUCAGAUGACGUGACUGAUGGAGGGGGAGGUUUCUGUCAGAUCUGGGGCACUCCCAGGAGCUGCAGUUUGUCUCGGCUGACAACAACGCUCACCAAAGGGGCCCCCAUCCCACACAUCAGCUGGAAAGGUCCUCCCGACUGCCUGUAUCAGAGGUGCCAUGAUCCAGUGUGACUUGAUGCACCAGGACAGGCUGGGACCCCUCAGCAGGCCCACAAUGGACAGCUGUGAUUACUGCUGACAAUAAUUUAUGGUCCCCUCUGAUUGAAAACAUGAGAGCUGGAGAUAGAAAGGCUGGUGUUGAGUCAAGGCACCACCUUAAGAUAUAAAACUGAGGCCGCAGCUGCUGUCAGAAGCAGGACUCCUGCCAAGCUCUGCAGGCCUUCUGCCCAUCCAGACAAACACAAGCUCUCAUUUUGCUCUCUUUACUCUUCCUUUAUAUUUUCCUUCCUUCUUUUCUUUGCCUGGUUAUAGUCCUCCUCUUCAUUGUCUCGCUCGUAAUUUUCUAUCUUGCUAAUACUUCUCCUAUGUUUUAUUCUCUAUUUUCAGCUUCAACAACCUAGAUGUCCGUCAUAGUAUGGAGGUACGCCGUUUGUAGUAUUUGUCUGAAAUAAAAGAGGAACAAAUACUUAUCCACCCUGGCUGAUCAGGUGUCUCUACUGUGAGCUUUUCCAGCCCCGAGAUUACCACGCUAAUCCUAACAAUAGCAAUGUGCAGCUGGUUUGAACAACUAUCUGCACCAUUGUUUAUGUUGUCAUCCCUGCUGGAUCGCACUCCUGAGGAGUAACCAUUUUAGUGGAUUUGCAUUUACUAUUUCAAUGCCACAUCCAGGGAUGAAGAGCUCUUCUUCUAAAACGAUGUAUGUUCUGGGUAUUAUGUUCUAUUUCUAAAGGAGGCCCUGAACUACAGAGAAGGGGUAGCAAAGCUCUUGUGGAUAUGAAACUGAAAUUAAACAACCCCUAGAUUGAAUUGAAAAAGACUGAAAUGGAAUCAGAUGGAAUGGAAAUAUUUGCUAACAGGUCAUCUCAAAAUCUGCUGUCAUUAUAUUGAAUAGAAAACUGACUAUGUUUAAUACAUGUUUUGAAUACAUCUAUCGCACGUAAUUUUAUAUUUGUACAAUGGUUUGUACUAAUUCUAGUGAUGUAACAAUUAUAACUAUAUUAGAUCUAUAUAUCAGCUCUAAUAUUCUAAUAUGUAAUGGUGCCAAGUAGUUUGAGUUUCAAAAAUGUGUUUUAGUAAAGGCUUAUUCUUGAACUCAAAACUGAGUCUCUCUACCAGUCUGUUGACUACUUGUAAAAAUAGCACCCCAAUCUAAGGACGGAAUAUGUUUCCUCUCAGAGCACAAUGGUUUGCAGCAGCCUCAGAGUUAUGUCAACAAGAGAGGGAAUGGAAUCCCCCCAAAAUUCAAGGCGCACAACUUUGUCAUAGUUCAAAAAAAGCAUCUUUAUUCACAUCACUACAUGAUUAAUAACGAAAGACAAAUGUGUAUUAGCUGCAUAGUGGUAAUGAAAUAAACAGCCAUAUCCGUUAACCUGUCCAGUAUAUAUUCUCUCUUUUGUCCAGUGUGUGCUGGGACAGAAUCCAACCUCCCACGACUGUGAUGGAGACACAAAAAUCACCAAAUUCAUAUAAAGAUAUAUGGCAUUCAAAAUGGUUCCUUUAAGUUACAUUCGUUCUCCUUUGGUGGGUGUGUUGGGGGUGAAAACCAAUUCCACUGGAUGAUGAGCAGUGAUGUGGGCCUAUAUAAACAGGGUCAUCAGUGCACUAUGGAGCCCAUGUUCCACCUUUAAACACAUUUACAUUUAACUUUGUGGUGUUUUCUCAGAACUACCAGGACACAUAUCUGCAUUCAGCUGCAGUUAUAACUGGAUGGUUAAAACACUACUACUUUCCACUUUAAACAAUGUGUUGCUAUGAAUUGGCAGCACUGAAUGUGACCUGCUGAUGGCUCUCUGGAGAGUGGGAGGAAACCAUAUUAACCCAGAUGAACACAGGAACUCUAAACAGAAAAGGCCGGGGUUAAGAAUCAACACAUGGAUCUUAUUGCACCAGUGGCACCAGUGCCAGUUUGUGACCUCAGACAAAUAAGGCACAUUUAUAAUCAAAAAUUCUUUGAGCUCAACCAUAAUAAUAUAUUUUCUACUGUGUCAAAAACAACUCACUUUCACAGCAUUUAAAGAAAGUCUGUAAUUCAGAGAAAUGAAAUUACAGGACAGGUUUAGCAUCGGCCCACUGACAGUAACAUAGAAAUGUAUGUCAGUGUCAGUAGUUCAUUGCUUUAAAUGAGACACAUAUUGUAUAUUGUAAGAUUUAGUAUACGAAUGCAAUGAUAAUAGAUGUACCUAUGAUGAUACUGUGUUUGAACAUGAAUAUAGCAUCUAUUUAGUAUAUACAAUCCCUGUUGAUUUUGUACACGUCUCUUUAAAGGGACAUUGUGUAGUGUUUUAAGUAUUUUAUUAGCUAAAAUCAAUGUCUUCAUUCAUAAAUGUGUCCUCAUUGGUGUAAAAUUACCUCUGCCAAUGAUCUGACUUAACCUCGUAAGCGAAGAAUUUCUUAUCUGUAUUUACAUUGGAGGGGCAAGUCCAUGGAGGCUUCCAUGUCGUUCCGCCAUUUUGAAAAACUAUAAUCGCCGAGAGGGACAUAACGCACUAGCCUACCUGUCUAGCCAAUCCACAACGCGUUUUCGUUCAGAGCCAGCGUCACGUGACUGAAACCAGCUAUAAUGAAGAAGGAAAUCAGUGAGAUAGCUUGUCACUGCCCCGGCACAUUUAAAAGUCUGCACUGCACUUUAGUUAAUAAUGGAGGAUCAUACUUAUGCCGACCACAGGAGAAGGAAAAUCCUCGUCGCCAAAAAAACGAAAAAGGGAAUUAAAAAGGCAACAUGACCGGCGAAUUCAAAAAA
This is a long non-coding RNA of Dicentrarchus labrax (European seabass), 3150 nucleotides long. RefSeq lists it as uncharacterized. Lineage: Eukaryota; Metazoa; Chordata; Actinopteri; Moronidae. The transcript is spliced from 2 exons. The record is from RefSeq and is a predicted model, not a curated record.